This 845-nucleotide long non-coding RNA is filed under the name Salmo salar (Atlantic salmon). RNAcentral describes it as "lncRNA (ENSSSAG00000086809.1, ENSSSAG00020018628.1)". The record is from RNAcentral. Lineage: Eukaryota; Metazoa; Chordata; Actinopteri; Salmoniformes; Salmonidae.
CUAGGACACGCUCUGCAGGGCGAAUGCCGUGCCUAAUACACCAACACAAUAGCUCUCUCAUAUCCUUCUCCUCCAAUUUAUCCAUCAACUCCUUAACAGUCUCUGCUUCGCUCCCCUCCAAUUUUACCCCGACUGGCUCUGGUUCCAUCCUCGGCUCCGCCGAUCUGUCCAUGUGCCCCCCCCAAAAAAAGGUGCUGUGUAUGUGUGUGCGUGUGUGUGUGCGUGUGUAGUGUGUGUGUGUUUGUUGGUGGGGGACAUAUUUUAUUCUGUAAUUUGCUCUGCUAUCUGGCAGGGUUGGGUCUCAGCCAGAGACCCACACAGGAGCCAAAAUACUGUUGAAAUUCAACUCGGGUGGAUAAAUCUGGUUAAUUAUGAAAAGGUCUGCAAUUUUAAACAACUUUCUUGUGCAUUUUCGCUCUUCCAGCUCAGAUGGGUGGAACUGUUGAGUCAGGUCAUGCCACUCAGAUGUCAGAUGAGGAAGCAGGGGUACUGAAAAUAUAUGUCACAGCUGGCCUGGUGUUCUACCUUCCCAAGGACUCCAAUGUCACCCAGCUCUUCUGCACUCUCUCAGUAGAAGCUCACAUCCAAAUCAAGACUGGCUGGUAUGGGGCAGCAAGGGGAAACACGGAGCCGAACUGAUGUCGCUCACAUUUCAUUGAAAUUACCUUGAGUGUCUCACGCUUUGCAAAAGUUACAUGUCUAGUGUAGCAGGCCAGUGAUUAGCACUCAUUUAUGAUUUAGCUGAUAGAUGAUUUUUUUCGGAAGGUUUUACUUGCACUGACUGUGGGAUAUGUGGUUGUCUUAACUAUCUUAUUUGAAUGCCCUGACUAUAAGUUGCUCUGGAU